UGAGGAAUAUUGGUCAAUGGGCGCAAGCCUGAACCAGCCAUGCCGCGUGCAGGAAGACGGUCCUAUGGAUUGUAAACUGCUUUUAUUUGGGAAUAAAUCUCUUUACGUGUAGAGAGCUGAAGGUACAAAAUGAAUAAGCACCGGCUAACUCCGUGUCAGCAGUAGCGGGAAUACGGAGGGUGCAAGCGUUAUCAGGAAUCAUUGGGUUUAAAGGGUCCGCAGGCGGUCUUAUAAGUUAGUGGUGAAAGCCUACAGCUCAACUGUAGAACUGCCCGUGAUACUGUAAGACUUGAGUUCGGUCGAAGUGGGCGGAAUAUCACAUGUAGCGGUGAAGUGCGUAGAUAUAUCAUAGAACACCGGUAGCGAAGGCGGCUCCCUCGGUCUGGAUUGACGCUCAGGGACGAAAGCGUGGGGAGCAAACA
RNAcentral lists this ribosomal RNA (422 nucleotides) under uncultured bacterium. RNAcentral's name for it is "bacterial SSU rRNA". It matches the Rfam family "Bacterial small subunit ribosomal RNA", at positions 355 to 774 of the family's 1533-position model. The record is from RNAcentral.